Molecule: unclassified non-coding RNA, 1383 nt
Filed under: Leishmania donovani
Lineage: Eukaryota; Euglenozoa; Kinetoplastea; Trypanosomatida; Trypanosomatidae
Description: gene:LdHU3.16.0780(CDS-product:RING-H2_zinc_finge r/Ring_finger_domain/Anaphase-promoting_complex_subunit_11_ RING-H2_finger_containing_protein_putative)
Source: RNAcentral
CGCCGUCCACCUUCACCUGGGUGCGCCUCCUCUCUCACACGCGGAGGCCCACCUCCACGCACAUACACGCGCAAAGAGAGCGCGAGACACCGGAACUGCCGAUCCAUCGAGUCCUCGCUGGGGCCAUGGCGAGCCCGCCUACUGCGACAGGCUCGUCGCCGGCAGACGCGGACUUCAUCAUUCCGAUUGAGACGAGGUAUCUGUACGUGACUGCCCGAAGCGUGCCUCGCGAGACGCUGCUCAUGACAGGGGAUUGCCCCAUCUGCAAGAGCGCCCUCGGCCAGCCGUGUUUGAAGUGCACCUCCUCUAUGGACGAGUGCCCCGUCGCCGUCGGUGUUUGCGGCCACAUCUUUCACCAACACUGCCUUGAGCAGUGGCUGCAGGGGACGUGCCCCCUCUGCCGCAAUCAGUGGCAGCAGGAGCGCAUCAUCCAACAGAACUAGAAGGGCGAAGCGCAGGGGCGGUGGGGUCGGGCAGUCGCCCCCUCGUACGGAUGUGACGUGUGCACUGCGCGCCCACAUUUCGUGUUCUCGUUGUUCGCGGGUGCGCGUGCCACCCCCGCCCCCUCUACUCUUUCUAUCCGCAUCACUGUCCCGGAGAAGCCUCCCCUGGUCAGUGUGCUACGACCAUCACGACAGCCACCCACACCUUUACUCUCCACCAUCUUCCCCUCCCCUGAUGUGCGAUGCGUCGGCGCACGCACGCUCUUCGUCGGCUGCGGCGUUCAACUCUUCCUCGUCGCUCUCUCCAGCCGUCGCGAACCUCCCUGUGCGGCGCGGGGUGUGUGACGGACUACGCAGAGAGACAUAGGAGACGGCAGAGGAGCGGGGGGGGGCGGAGAGUCGAGGAGCGUGCGGGCGGGUUAGGGAGGGGGCAGGAAUGGCUCGCUAAACGAAUGCUGCCGGAAACGAAGUUCUCAUUGCUGAGCGCGUACCUCUCUCUUGCGCGCGCGCUGCUGAACCUUUCCUGAUGUGUGUGCGCAUGUGUUUGCCUUGCCUUCUUCCUGUUGCUCGUUGGAGGGCGCAUGCACUUCUCUCCCCUCUCAAUCACCGCGCUGCCCGUCUUUUUGUCUGUCUAUCUCCUCCUCUGCCUCCAUAGGCACGGGAAGGAAAAGGCCGCUAACUCAGCGGUGCGUGCGUGCCCGAGAAAGGAGGACGGUCAGGUCCCGUCACGGGCGAUCCCACAAAGGGAAACCUGCGCACGGGUGGAGGAGGCGUGCGAGGGAGAGGGCCGAGAUCCAAACGACGAGAGAAGACAAACGUGGGCCAUAGCGUGGCACGCAUCCCUGUCACUCUACAUCGCUGCCGACUACUUGUGGAGUAUCGACGUAUGUGUGUGUGUGUGUGUGUGUGUGUGUGCGUCUGCAUGCCUAUGCGCCGGUCG